This 530-nucleotide ribosomal RNA is filed under the name Gymnodinium sp. CS380-2. RNAcentral describes it as "LSU rRNA". It matches the Rfam family "Eukaryotic large subunit ribosomal RNA", at positions 351 to 868 of the family's 3401-position model. Lineage: Eukaryota; Dinophyceae; Gymnodiniales; Gymnodiniaceae. RNAcentral also lists the same sequence under 1 other name. The record is from RNAcentral.
CCAUGAGGGAAAGGUGAAAAGGACUUUGGAAAGAGAGUUAAAAGUGCCUGAAAUUGCUGUAAGGGAAGCGAAUGGAACCAGUCAGCCUCGGCGAGAUUGCUGCGCGCUCAAGUGAGGCCCUGCUCCGGUAGUGCAAACACGGCUGCAGGCGUCGAUCUGGUUGCGCGUGGUCGCUUCUUGCUUUGGGUGUCAGCGUCAGCUCAACUCUGAGGACAACCCCAAGGACAUGGAAGGCCGCCCCCGGGUGGCUGAAGGUGCUUGGCGGAACUCAAGCGUGGACUGCUUGGCGCAACGCGCCUGCGCUGACGACAUGGAUUCGUUCGGCCCGUCUUGAAACACGGACCAAGGAGUCUAGCAUAUGUGCAAGCACAUGGGUGUUAAACCUAAGUGCGCAAUGAAAGUGACUGCUGGGAUCCUUGCACCAGCAACCGACUGAUCAAUUGGGAGAGGUUUGAGUUUGAGCAUAUCUGUUAGGACCCGAAAGAUGGUGAACUAUGCCUGAGAAGGACAAAGUCAGGGGAAACUCUGAU